This is a long non-coding RNA of Amphiprion ocellaris (clown anemonefish), 4173 nucleotides long. RefSeq lists it as uncharacterized. The transcript has 3 exons. The record is from RefSeq and is a predicted model, not a curated record. NCBI's taxonomy places the organism in Eukaryota, Metazoa, Chordata, Actinopteri, Pomacentridae.
UGAAGCGCCUCAUUCUCAGGCUUUUUGUUAAUUCUUCCCCCACCUCCACCUUCUCUUCAUCCCACCGUCAUCUUCGUUUCUUUCUGCUUCCUCCGGACCGAGCCGCCGCCCUGCCGCCCCCUCCCUCCCCCUGCCAGGAAGCAUCCUGGGUAAUUUCCUCUCUUAUUGAAUUGGGACGGGGGAAGAUAAAGGAGUGCUAAUGGAGGAUGGCAAAUCUGCAGCUCCUUCCUCCUCCUGUCUCUGGGGUAAAAGUACAAAUGCCCCUCGCUGCCUCUCCGGCCCAGACAAAAGGCGAUGACCUUCUUCUUCUUCUUCGUCUUGUUCUGUUUUCUUUCCUUUCAGGAUGCUGCUGAGGCUUUCCAUGGAGUCGCUGUGAACCCGAUGCUCCCUCAGUCCUCUCCUGUUUCUAGAGGACGAUAAUGAGGAACAUGUCAAUAUGUCAGCGAGAACCAAUUAGAGCUCUGACCGAACGGACCGAUCCACCGGUGGAGGACGACGGGAUCACCGACGACACGACGGAAGAAAAACAACGGCAGAAAAAACAAUGGAAGAAGAAACAACAGAAGAGCGUCGAGUAUCGAACCCAACGUGUGUUUUCAGGUAUCCAGAGGGCGAGGCAGACAGACGGACAUAUAGAUCGGCAUUCCCGGAUAAAUUGGCACUUGUGCGUCCGUCUCUCCUCGGCUAAUUAAGUCGACGCUCAGAGGCCCGGCUUAAUUGGAACGAGCUGCGUUAUCUCUGCACACACACAGCGACACACACACAGCGACAUACACACACCGACACACACACACCGACACACACACUGGGAGUAUGACUGACAGCAGAGUGUGAGCUGCUGAUAGUCGCAGAGCUGAUGUGGGAACAAUAUGGAAGAUCCUAAAACCACAACCCCCGCUGAUCUACGUACACCCACACACAAAUGACCUAUACACAAACCACCAAUAUACAAACCAUCAAUACACAAACUACCCAUACUACACAAACCACCUGUAUACAAUAAAUCGAGCCACAAACCGUCAAUACACAAAUCAUCAAUACACAAACUGUCCAUCCACCCACCAUAGAUCCACCAACCAUAGAUCCACCAACCGUAGAUCCACCAACCGUAGAUCCACCAACCAUAGAUCUACCAACCGUAGAUCCACCCACCAUAGAUCCACCAACCAUAGAUCCACCAACCAUAGAUCUACAAACCAUAGAUCCACCAACCGUAGAUCCACCAACAGUAGAUCCACCAACCGUAGAUCCACCCACCAUAGAUCCACCAACCAUAGAUCCACCAACCAUAGAUCCACCAACCAUAGAUCCACCAACCAUAGAUCUACCAACCGUAGAUCCACCAACCAUAGAUCCACCAACCAUAGAUCUACCAACCGUAGAUCCACCCACCAUAGAUCCACCAACCAUAGAUCCACAAACCAUAGAUCUACAAACCAUAGAUCCACCAACCAUAGAUCCACCAACCAUAGAUCUACCAACCGUAGAUCCACCAACCAUAGAUCCACCAACUGUCAAUACACAAACCAUUGAUACACAAACCACCAAUAUACAAAAAGUCGACCCACAAACUGUUGGUUCACAAAUCAUCGAUCCACCACCUGUUGACACACAAUCUGUCGAUCAACAAACCAUCAAUCCACCAACCUAUAAACACACAAAAUGUUGAUACACAAACUGUAUACAUUUCAAAAAUCCCCAAAUUAGGAAGGAAGUUGGUUUUGUGAAGUGGAUAAUAGAAGUUUUCUACCUGUCAAAGAUCCUUCUGUCCCAUAUUUACCCGGCAAGAAAUAUCCUGAUUUUGCAAAUCAACUGGCAGGAUUGAUUUCUAGAAAUACUGCAUUUACCAACUAGUCUUUACAUCGACACGGUGGAUUAGUUAAACAACGGUCCAGAAGAACUGUGUUCAUGUUGAGGUGACAGGGUACUGCAGAUGAAGGAAACAUUGUAAGAAGGAAGAGAUGUAACAAAGAGCUGUAGUCAAUUAAAGAAAGACUUUGAAAUCAUAUUGGCUCUUCAACGAGCUGAUUGGUUGCAGGGAGAAAAAAAAAUCUGCAUUUGAUCUGCAGAAGAAUUAAAAAGACCAGAGAGUUCUGAGAGUUUCUACCUGCAGCCUUAUUAUCCAACAGUAAUUCUACCUCAACAUGAAAAGCUUUGAACCAGUCUGAGACCAGCUGCACAGAUUCAUCUGAUUCCCGAAAAUACAUCAACCGAUGAUGCAGCACAAGAACUCUGGAGGAAUCAAACACAAGCUAGCUGCUGUUUAUAGAUGAUCUACAUGCUGGUUGUUGAGUUGUUGAUACACAAACUGCUGACUGCAAAGUCUAAACUCCACUUUUUGUUCAUCCAUUGGGGUAAAACAAUGCAGAAACACCAACACCACCUCCACGGAAAUGUACAAAGAACAUUAAAUCAGUUAGAUCAGGUUGGGCCAAUCCAAAGUUGUGAAAACAUGGGGGUGGUCACAGGUGGUUUGUUCCUCUUGCUGCUAAAAAUAAUAGAUUAAUCCAGAAUGUGUUGAUGUAGAACUUUUCUCCAUAUGUCAAAACUGCAUUUAAAGACUCUGUAACCAGUUAGAAUUAGAUUGGAGACUACGGUUCAGUUUAAUGUUAGCACCUCAAUAUCUGCUAUGGGAGGAGGUCGGGGUGGAUGGAUGGGUCAACAAUAUGUCAGGAUUCAUCACAGGAAGUCGAUGUUUACGCUGUUGUUUCCUACAAAACAGUCAACGUUGGAUUCUUUUACCCAACAACUGUUUUCUAACAUCUAUCAGCACUGAUUUCUAGGUUUUAUCAAAGCAUGUUGAUGAAUCAACCAGCAAACGUGGAGACUACAGUUAGCUAUAAUGUUAGCACCUCAAUGUCUACUAUGGGAGGAGGUCGGGGUUGAUGGACGGGUCAACAGUAUGUGAGGAUUCACCGCAGGAAGUUGAUGUUUGCUCUGUUGUUUCUUUAAAAAAAUGUCAAUAUUGGAUUAUUUUACCCAACAACUGUAUUCUAGUCUUUAUCCACACUGGUUUCUGAUGUAUAUAUUGCACAUAUAUUUUCAGUAUUCUACAUUUUGCUCGUCAGAUCUGCAAAUUCACUUUCAGUUCAUUUGAUACUGUUAGUCUAUUGUUGAUUCUCCUACCUUUGUAUCAAUUCUCAGUUAAUAUUAUGUAACUCUUUGGGAACAACACACAAAAAAGAAGCAAUAACAAGAUGAGAGAACAACCUUAAGGGUAGUUCUAGAGGAAAAUUGCAAACAACAUAUUUUCUCAUUGAAUUGAAUAGAUUUGUUGAUAUGACGACGCAUCUGUAAUUUUUCUCCAUAUCAAAGUUGUGUUUAAAGAUUCUCAAACCAAUAAAAAUUAGGCUGUAUCAAAGCAUGUUGACCAACCAACCAACAAACCUGGAGACUACGAUUCAGUUUAAUGGUAGCACCUCCAUAUCUACUAUGGGAGGAGGUCGGGGUGGAUGGACGGCUCAACAAUAUGUGAGGAUUCACCACAGGAAGUCAAUGUUUGCUCUGUUGUUUCUUAAAAAACAGUCAAUAUUGGAUUCUUUCACCCAACAACUGCUCUUUAAAAUGUAUCUGCACUAAAUUCUAAUGAAUAUAUCGCACAUAUAUUCUCAAUAUUCUAUAUUUUACUUGUCAGAUCUGCAGAUUUGCUAGUAAUUAACUCGAUACUCCCAGUCUAUUGUUGAUCAUUUAACCAAUUUAUCAAUUUUGAGUUAAUUUUCUGCCACUAUUUGGGAAGGAACACAAAAAAGAAGCAACAAGAUGAGAAAACAGCCAUAAGUGGAGUAUUUUCCCAUUUAAUUCAGUUUGUUGAUGUGAGGACGCAUCUCGAUUUCUGAUUUUCUUCAGAUCGUCCCUUCUAUCUCUGCAGUAACAUACCAUUAUAUUCAUGUUAAAACCAGAAGAAAUCAAUUUAAUUCUAAACUGUUCCAAUGAUCUUUUGCUGUCUUUCCACACCAUUUUACAUUGAAUGUUUUUGGAGUUUUUUGCUGCUGAUUGGGGAAAAUAUACACAUUUUCUCAACUAAAUGUGUGAUUAAUUGAUCUACCUUGAAGCUAACUGAUAAUGAGCGACUCGUACUUUGACUGACUUGCAUCACGAUGAGCUCAUUUUGAUUCCACAUGUAUCAGGAACCUUUCUGUUCUUGAAAAACGAGAAUAAAACCUCAGUUUUUGC